This is a non-coding RNA of Erythranthe guttata (spotted monkey flower), 398 nucleotides long. The record is from RefSeq and is a predicted model, not a curated record. NCBI's taxonomy places the organism in Eukaryota, Viridiplantae, Streptophyta, Magnoliopsida, Lamiales, Phrymaceae.
AUGUUCAGGAAUACUAUUGACUCCCACGAACUCGUUCGUUUCAUCGACGCGUGUCCGUGCUUGCAGAGACUCGAGAUUAAGUUUACGGCAACAAACUUUCACGAUAGGUAUUAUCAUAUGAAGGUGGUGAACAAGACCUCAAAUGAUGAUCAUCCGAAAACGGUGAAACUGUCGGGAAUCAAAGCGUCUCCGAACGAAGUGGAACUCGGGGUGCUCGUUGUUGAAAAAGCUACGGCACUUGAAGAGCUUAUCGUGGAAAUUAGCCCCGACAAAAGCUACACAAACCGAGAAAGGAUGAGAGCUCGUAUACGGAAAGAAUUUCAACCAAUACUACAAGAUUCGGUUAAUUUUGUUGUUGUCUAGAUAUUUAAUUUAAUCUAAGACCAUCGAAUUUAUAU